CCUACGGGAGGCAGCAGUAAGGAAUAUUGGACAAUGGUCGCAAGACUGAUCCAGCCAUGCCGCGUGCAGGAUGACUGCCCUAUGGGUUGUAAACUGCUUUUGUACGGGAAUAAACCCCUCUACGUGUAGAGGGCUGAAUGUACCGUAAGAAUAAGGGUCGGCUAACUUCGUGCCAGCAGCCGCGGUAAGACGAAGGACCCAAGCGUUAUCCGGAUUCAUUGGGUUUAAAGGGUGCGUAGGCGGAUUGAUAAGUCAGUGGUGAAAGCCUGUUGCUUAACAACAGAACUGCCAUUGAUACUGUUGAUCUUGAAUAUGUUUGAUGUGGGCGGAAUAUGACAUGUAGCGGUGAAAUGCUUAGAUAUGUCAUAGAACACCGAUUGCGAAGGCAGCUCACAAAGCCAUUAUUGACGCUGAGGCACGAAAGCGUGGGGAUCAAACAGGAUUAGAUACCCUGGUAGUCCACGCUGUAAACUUUGAUCACUCGCUGUUGGCGAUACACAGUCAGCGCGAGACGAAGACGUUAAGUAGAGUCCACCGCGGGAGGUACGAGUCGCGAAGAGUUAGUAAACGUUAAAGUUAAGUAAGUUAGGUUACGGCGGUUGGAGGACGNGCCGACGGACGACGACGAGGGGAGGUUAGG
This 640-nucleotide ribosomal RNA is filed under the name uncultured bacterium. RNAcentral describes it as "bacterial SSU rRNA". The stretch from base 1 to 536 matches the Rfam family "Bacterial small subunit ribosomal RNA", at positions 338 to 873 of the family's 1533-position model. The record is from RNAcentral.